This 253-nucleotide ribosomal RNA is filed under the name uncultured bacterium. RNAcentral's name for it is "partial 16S ribosomal RNA". It matches the Rfam family "Bacterial small subunit ribosomal RNA", at positions 524 to 776 of the family's 1533-position model. The record is from RNAcentral.
GACGGAGGAUGCAAGUGUUAUCCGGAAUCACUGGGCGUAAAGCGUCUGUAGGUGGUUUAAUAAGUCAACUGUUAAAUCUUGAGGCUCAACCUCAAAAUCGCAGUCGAAACUAUUAGGCUAGAGUAUAGUAGGGGUAAAGGGAAUUUCCAGUGGAGCGGUGAAAUGCGUAGAGAUGUGGAGGAACACCGAUGGCGAAGGCAGCCCCCUGGGCUAACACUGACGCUCAUGCACGAAAGCGUGGGGAGCAAACAGG